Molecule: ribosomal RNA, 301 nt
Filed under: uncultured bacterium
Lineage: Bacteria
Description: partial 16S ribosomal RNA
Rfam family: Bacterial small subunit ribosomal RNA
Source: RNAcentral
CAGUAGCCGCGGUAAUACGAAGGGGGCUAGCGUUGUUCGGAAUUACUGGGCGUAAAGGGCGCGUAGGCGGCCAUUCAAGUUAGAUGUGAAAGCCCUGGGCUCAACCUAGGGAUAGCAUUUGAUACUGUUUGGCUUGAGUUCGGGAGAGGUGAGUGGAAUUCCCAGUGUAGAGGUGAAAUUCGUAGAUAUUGGGAAGAACACCAGUGGCGAAGGCGGCUUACCGGCUCAUACUGGACGCUGAGGUGCGAAAGCGUGGGGAGCAAACGGGAUUAGAUACCCGAGUAGUCCCUGUCUCUUAUAA